UUGAACUAAGAAUAUAAGGGUUGAGCUUUAUAUUCAAUAAUUGAUAAAAGAUGAAUGAAUAAAUAAUUAUUUAUAAAAUUAGGCUUUUUAGUGGCCAUAUUUAUAAAGUGUUUUAACUAAUAAAAUAUAUUUUUUUUUAUUUUUAUUUUCUCUUAAAAAAUUAUUAGGAUAUAUUUAUAUUAAAAAUAGAUUAGUAAUAAUGAAAAUAUUAGUAGAAAAGAAAAUAUUAAAAUUUUAAAUAAUUAAUUUAGAAAAAUAUUUUUUAAUAAAAUAUAAAGAAAAAUUAAAGGAAUUCGGCAAAUUUUUUUCCUUGCCUGUUUAACAAAAACAUGUCUGUAUGAAGUUAUAUAAAGUCUGACCUGCCCGUUGAAGAAAUUUGAAAGGCCGCGGUAUAUUAACUGUGCAAAGGUAGCAUAAUCAUUAGUUUUUUAAUUGAAGGCUUGUAUGAAUGGUCUGACAAAGGAAAAGCUGUCUUUAGUUUUAAUUUUGAAUUUAACUUUUAAGUGAAAAGGCUUAAAUAAUUUUAAGGGACGAUAAGACCCUAUAAAUCUUUAUAUUAGAAUAUUAUCUUGAAAUUUAAUAGUUAGUUUGAAUUUAACAAGAAAAUAAUAAAUAUUUUGUUGGGGUGAUGAGAAUAUAAAAAUAACUGUUCUUAAAAAAAACAAAGUUGUUUGAAAAUAAUUUAUAGAUCCUUUUUUGAAGAUUAAAAGUUUAAGUUACUUUAGGGAUAACAGCGUUAUUUUUUUUGAGAGUUCUUAUCGAAAAAAAAGUUUGCGACCUCGAUGUUGAAUUAAAAUUUCUUUACGGUGUAGAAGUUGUAAAAGAGAGUCUGUUCGACUUUUGAAAUUUU
RNAcentral lists this ribosomal RNA (850 nucleotides) under Paramunida crinita. RNAcentral describes it as "partial 16S ribosomal RNA". The stretch from base 727 to 850 matches the Rfam family "Bacterial large subunit ribosomal RNA", at positions 2473 to 2597 of the family's 2925-position model. Lineage: Eukaryota; Metazoa; Arthropoda; Malacostraca; Decapoda; Munididae. The record is from RNAcentral.